RNAcentral lists this ribosomal RNA (254 nucleotides) under uncultured Bauldia sp. RNAcentral describes it as "partial 16S ribosomal RNA". It matches the Rfam family "Bacterial small subunit ribosomal RNA", at positions 524 to 776 of the family's 1533-position model. The record is from RNAcentral. Lineage: Bacteria; Pseudomonadati; Pseudomonadota; Alphaproteobacteria; Hyphomicrobiales; Kaistiaceae.
UACGAAGGGGGCUAGCGUUGUUCGGAAUCACUGGGCGUAAAGCGCACGCAGGCGGGUCGUUAAGUCAGGGGUGAAAUCCCGAGGCUCAACCUCGGAACUGCCUUUGAUACUGGCGACCUUGGAGUCCGGGAGAGGUGAGUGGAACUCCGAGUGUAGAGGUGAAAUUCGUAGAUAUUCGGAAGAACACCAGUGGCGAAGGCGGCUCACUGGCCCGGUACUGACGCUCAUGUGCGAAAGCGUGGGGAGCAAACAGG